Long non-coding RNA from Xiphophorus couchianus (Monterrey platyfish), 3319 nucleotides. RefSeq lists it as uncharacterized. The record is from RefSeq and is a predicted model, not a curated record. The transcript is spliced from 2 exons. NCBI's taxonomy places the organism in Eukaryota, Metazoa, Chordata, Actinopteri, Cyprinodontiformes, Poeciliidae.
AGAUGGCGCCAUACUCACCCGACUGGAGUGUGUGUGUAGACCGUCAUCAAGCACACCUGAACCUGAUCAACUCAUCAGCGGCGUGUACUAAAGGAGGCUUCUGCCAGUCCUUCAGCGCCCGAGUGUUUGCCAGUAACGGUUUUUCCCCGGAGAAGCCCUUACUGAUCCUGUCUGCUUCUCUGAUCGAGAUCCCCCUCGUGACGCCGUGGAUCCUACCCACUGGUUGCCCGAGUUCCCAGACUCACCUCCUCAGUCUGAUUACAAGUCCCCCCCCCCCGCCCGGAUUCCACGACUGGCAAUUGCACCGCUCCUUUGUCCCCGCCAAGCCCGAGCCUACCUGUCCGCCCUCCGACCACCUGGACCACUUAAGGGACAAAGACUCCGAACCCUCCAGUAAACUUUCCUAGACCUCGUGCCAUCGAACCACAAGUAAGCUCCGUUUACUCUGUGACUUUCCUGUUUCCGACAACCCUGAACUCACCAUUCUGCUCUGCCUCUUUAGAGAGCCGAUUGCUCCGUGAACCCGUUUCCUCCCUGGACCAGACCAGAGCUUCCACAACCUUACUUGCCAUUUAACAAUAAACCAAUUACCGUACAUACCUCUCCUGUAUUGUGUUCUGCAUGUGGGUCUGAAAAUAGUAAAUCCAUCAUGACAAAGGAUUAGAUCAUGCACUCUAUAUUGUAAUUCAGUUCACGAGGAUUUUAAUUGUUAGGGUUAAUGCCUCAUAUUCAGGAUGUUGCUCCUUUUAUGCCUGCAACCAAGAGAAGGUUUUAUGUUCUUACAACUAAGGUCAGUGUUGAAAUAUAAAUAUUCCAUUGAACUCGUUUUGUUUUCCGUGUAUUUAACUAUAUUGCUCUUAUCGUUGAUACUGGAAGCAAUCUGUUGGGAAUAACACUUCAGAUUAAAUAUUACUGUUACCUUGGAUAAACUAGACCACAUACAUUAAUCACAUCUAAUUCAUAUUGCCAUGUUUUUAUUGCUUAGUUUAUGUGCAACUUAGAAAAAAUUAUUUUGAGUUGCCAUACAUAAUUCCAUAAUGUAGCUUAUUUUAUUAUUUUGCUGCAAAUGGUUCUGUUAGGCAAUUGGGUUGCAUACUUUUCAAGUAAGAAAAUUGUAAUUUGCCAGUAGACUUAGGCUAUAACCUAUGAUUAUCAUCCUUGUAUUCCGAGAACUGAUCAAAUAUUACAUGAUGCAGAUACAAUCAAUGUUAAGGCUUAAGUUACUCUGUCCUACUUUGGUUCUGACAUUUGCUGAUGAAUUUCUGUUUAACGUGAGUCAGCAUUAACCUGUAAUGCAACAUGCCUUUUAGGUUAACAUUAUACCUGUAUAGUUUUCAAUUCUAUGACUAAAAUACUUCCUCAACAUACUUCCAAUUUCAGGCUAUAAUAUCUGGCCAAUAACCAUAUUAGAUAUUUCAGAUUUUGAUUUCAGGCUAAAUAAGGAUUUUGUUGUUAUGAAGCUUUUACUUUUAUCUGCCAUGGAUUCAUUUCCUAUUAUUUGGACCCAAUUUUUAUGUAGAGCUUAUUGAUUUAAAUUAGAAAUUGGUAUUUACAUAGUUUUAUAUUAUCUAAUAAUAUUGCAUCUUUGUUUCACAUUUGACUCGUUUAUGUGUGCUCUGCUCCUAUCAGUUGUCAUAGGCAGAGUUAUGCCUAUGACAACAAAGCUUUAGUUUCAUUUUUACUCCUGAAAAUGUUAAUCAAAUUUAUUAAGGAAUUGCUAAAUUUGUUCCUCUUUUAAAAUGUUUCGUUUUCCCAGUUAGAAGAUGUUAACCCUUCUUGUAUACUUUAAAUGAUUCCACGAGUUGAUCUUAUGUACCUUCCAACAUAUUUGUCAACAUCACUUAUUAUAGCUAUUUCCUACGCAUAGUGCUAAUUUAUUUACUUAUUUAUGUUAAUUUGCUUGUAUUCCUUCUUAAAGCAAUGUAUUUCCUAAGUGCUACUUGGUUCUAUAGUGCUUCAAAAUUGCAGAAUAAUUUUAGUUUAGUUUUAAUAAUUAAAUUGGAAAUUAAAUUUGCUGGUUCUAAUUUGAAAGAUCAGUUAAUACAACCCUUAAUUUAUUGAUUUAUUUUCCUAAGAAAGUCUUAUUCUGAAGAAGUGAGAAGUUUCCUAAUAUAUAUAGUUCUUAGAUUUAGGUUAGUAUUAAAUGUACACUGUAUUUCAGGAAUGACCCCAAGAUGUUGAUGUGGCCCAAGGGCAUACUUUCAGUAGAGAGUUUUACUGAGCUUUGUAUUGAGCUUUAACAUCCAAUUGUCAGGAGAGAUCUGUUCCAGUUACCUGAAAUUCUGAUUGCUUAAAUCAAAAUGUAACUUUAGCCAUAUUUUUCAUUGUUUGGUUUAUCAUACCAUCUCUCCAGGUCUCACUCCUCCUGUUCUGGAGAUAUUUAGGUGUCUUCCAUCAGAAGAAGGCGGCUAGAAUGGGACAGAUUUUCAGCUUCUGGAAAAGACAAAACUGAAAGCAGAAACAAUUUUGAUUAAGCAAAGCAUGCAAUCAAAACUUGGUCCUGUUUUUACUCUUUUAUUCUAAGGCUGAGUCUGUUUACCUGGUGAGAAUCGCAAUUUGAAAUUAAACAUCUCGUCUUCCAUAAUUUGCUUUCCUGGCAGUAUAUUUUGUUGUUUGGCAGCUACAAACAAGGUUCAGAUUGAUGUCAGAGAUAAACUUAUUUUUAUCGACAGUUUUAGUUACAGAAACAAUUUGAUAACCAACCUAACAAAACCAUGAUGUUUUGGCAUUAAUAUAAAAUUUCCAAAUCCUUACAUAAUAUUAAAUAUAGAUACCGAGAUCGAAAUUUUAAGUAAAGCAAGGUGCAUAUUUGUCUGUUGUUGAAAGUGUGCAAAUAAACAACCUAUUGUAGAGUUCUUCUAUUUGAAUUGUCUGAACCCGUUUUUUUUUUAAGGGAACGAUAUCUGUCUGUCAGAAGUUUUGGCAGCUCAAUCUUUGCGCAAAGAUAGAUACUCAUCUCUGGCCCGCAGAAAAGAACUUCAUCUCACUUUUAGCACUUCAGACCGCAGCAGACAGGAACCGUUCUGUAUUUAACAAGCAAAAGAGAUAAAAACCUUACCUCUUUUCUGAGUUGUUUUUUUUUUGUGGGCCCAGACGGCUCUCUGUCCGCCUUGGUCUGGAGCGUGACCUUUCUUUUCCUCUUGACCUUUUUUGUUGUUCAAAUCAAAUGUCGGGGUCACCAUUUGUAGGAUUGAAAAAGGUCUCAACUCUUAAUUAUAUUUAUAGAUAGGAAGUAAUACUCAGAGAUGAGUCCGUUUACUGCAGGUCACGGCGGGUGGAGAUUUAUUACACUGUUCCGCAGAUCAUCUUACAGUACAAA